This is an RNA transcript of Onychomys torridus (southern grasshopper mouse), 8263 nucleotides long. It is a transcript of the gene named MAM domain containing glycosylphosphatidylinositol anchor 2, with no coding region annotated. The transcript is spliced from 18 exons. NCBI's taxonomy places the organism in Eukaryota, Metazoa, Chordata, Mammalia, Rodentia, Cricetidae. The record is from RefSeq and is a predicted model, not a curated record.
GUGUGUGUGUGUGUGUGUGUGUGUGUGUACAUGACUGUGGGGUGUGUGGGGCUCCAGCGCUCCACUCUUGGCCGCCGCCAGGGAAGGACAGACGGACAGCGCUUCCUCCCAUCGGGAGCAGUUCCCGGGCACCUCGACUCGGCCCGGGCACAAGUGGAGCGCGCCUGGCUGGCCGCUGGCCUCCGGAAGGUUCCACUGCGUCCCCCUUGGGCUGGAUAUGUUCAUGUUCACGUGAAGAUGGAUUUAGUGUACGGUCUCGUGUGGCUGCUGACAGUCCUCCUGGAGGGGAUCUCUGGCCAAGGAGUGUACGCUCCCCCGACAGUUCGGAUUGUGCACUCAGGACUGGCCUGUAAUAUUGAGGAGGAGCGCUACUCUGAAAGGGUCUACACUAUCCGGGAAGGAGAAACUCUAGAAUUGACCUGUCUGGUUACAGGACAUCCACGCCCACAGAUCAGGUGGACGAAAACAGCAGGAAGUGCCUCUGACAGAUUCCAAGACUCAAGUGUCUUCAAUGAGACAUUGAGGAUUACCAACAUUCAGAGACACCAAGGUGGCCGCUAUUACUGUAAAGCAGAGAAUGGCUUGGGGUCCCCAGCAAUAAAGUCGAUCCGAGUGGAUGUAUACUACUUGGAUGAUCCAGUAGUAACUGUUCAUCAGAGCAUAGGUGAAGCUAAAGAACAGUUUUACUACGAGAGAACAGUGUUUCUCAGAUGUGUGGCCAAUUCCAAUCCCCCUGUGCGCUACAGCUGGAGACGUGGCCAAGAGGUGUUGCUGCAAGGAUCUGACAAAGGAGUGGAGAUUUAUGAGCCCUUCUUCACCCAGGGUGAAACAAAGAUCUUAAAGCUAAAGAAUCUUAGACCUCAGGACUACGCUAACUACAGCUGCAUUGCUUCUGUGAGGAACGUGUGUAAUAUUCCAGACAAGAUGGUGUCGUUUAGACUUUCUAAUAAAACAGCAUCCCCAUCAAUUAAGCUUUUGGUGGAUGAUCCUAUAGUUGUAAAUCCUGGAGAGGCCAUAACAUUAGUGUGUGUUACAACGGGAGGAGAGCCAACACCCUCUCUCACCUGGGUCAGAUCUUUUGGGACUCUGCCUGAGAAGAUUGUUUUGAAUGGUGGGACGUUGACCAUACCUGCCAUCACCUCAGAUGAUGCUGGUACUUACAGCUGCAUUGCCAAUAAUAAUGUGGGAAAUCCUGCAAAAAAGUCCACCAACAUCAUUGUGAGAGCAUUAAAAAAAGGACGAUUUUGGAUCACUCCUGAUCCUUAUCACAAAGAUGACAACAUCCAGAUUGGGCGUGAGGUGAAAAUAUCUUGCCAAGUAGAAGCUGUUCCUUCUGAGGAGUUAACAUUUAGUUGGUUUAAAAAUGGUCGUCCAUUAAGAAGUUCUGAGCGGAUGGUUAUUACGCAGACUGACCCGGAUGUAUCUCCUGGAACAACAAACUUGGAUAUCAUUGAUUUAAAAUUCACGGACUUUGGGACUUACACAUGUGUGGCCUCUCUGAAAGGAGGAGGAAUAUCUGAUAUCAGUAUUGACGUUAAUAUUUCCAGCAGUACAGUUCCACCCAAUCUGACUGUUCCACAGGAAAAAUCACCUUUGGUCACCAGAGAAGGAGACACAAUAGAACUUCAGUGUCAAGUAACUGGGAAACCUAAACCAAUCAUCCUCUGGUCUAGAGCGGACAAAGAAGUGGCAAUGCCUGAUGGGACAAUGCAAAUGGAGAGUUACGAUGGGACACUGAGGAUUGUGAACGUUUCAAGGGAGAUGUCAGGGAUGUACAGGUGUCAAACUAGCCAGUACAAUGGAUUCAAUGUGAAGCCAAGAGAAGCCUUGGUCCAGCUCAUCGUGCAGUAUCCCCCAGCUGUGGAACCAGCAUUCUUGGAAAUCCGUCAAGGACAGGACAGAAGUGUGACCAUGAGCUGCAGGGUACUGAGGGCGUAUCCAAUACGAGUGCUGACCUAUGAGUGGCGUUUGGGCAAUAAGUUAUUACGGACUGGUCAGUUUGACUCUCAGGAGUAUACAGAGUACCCAGUAAAAAGUCUUUCCAAUGAAAACUAUGGCGUUUAUAACUGCAGCAUCAUAAAUGAAGCCGGAGCAGGGAGAUGCAGCUUUCUCGUUACAGGAAAGGCCUAUGCCCCAGAGUUCUAUUAUGACACCUACAACCCUGUGUGGCAAAACCGACACCGGGUGUAUUCCUACAGUCUGCAGUGGACACAGAUGAAUCCAGAUGCAGUGGAUCGAAUUGUUGCAUACCGCUUGGGUAUUCGGCAGGCUGGACAGCAACGUUGGUGGGAACAGGAGAUUAAAAUAAAUGGGAAUAUUCAAAAGGGAGAACUCAUUACAUAUAACUUGACGGAACUAAUUAAACCAGAGGCUUAUGAAGUCCGACUGACCCCUCUCACUAAAUUUGGUGAAGGAGAUUCAACAAUCCGUGUCAUCAAAUAUACUGCACCUGUAAAUCCUCAUUUGAGGGAAUUUCACUGUGGAUUUGAAGAUGGUAAUAUUUGUUUAUUCACCCAAGAUGAUACUGAUAAUUUUGACUGGACAAAACAAAGUACAGCAACAAGAAAUACAAAAUACACUCCUAACACGGGGCCCAAUGCAGACCGCAGUGGUUCCAAAGAAGGUUUUUAUAUGUACAUUGAGACAUCUCGACCCAGACUGGAAGGCGAAAAGGCUCGACUUCUCAGUCCUGUAUUCAGCAUAGCUCCCAAAAAUCCAUAUGGACCUACAAACACUGCAUAUUGUUUCAGUUUCUUCUACCACAUGUAUGGGCAACAUAUAGGUGUUUUAAAUGUAUAUCUACGUUUGAAAGGGCAGACAACAAUAGAGAAUCCUCUAUGGUCUUCAAGUGGGAAUAAAGGACAACGAUGGAAUGAGGCUCAUGUUAAUAUAUAUCCAAUUACUUCAUUUCAGCUAAUUUUUGAAGGCAUUCGAGGUCCUGGGAUAGAAGGUGACAUCGCCAUUGAUGAUGUUUCAAUAGCUGAAGGAGAAUGUGCAAAACAAGACCUAACAACUAAGAAUUCCGUGGAUGGUGCUGUUGGGAUCUUAGUUCAUUUAUGGCUCUUUCCAGUCAUCAUCCUCAUCUCUAUCUUGAGUCCUCGAAGGUGACCUUAUCCUGGCAGAGGCUAUCAACGAUUCACCAGGCACUGGCAUGAAGAAAGAGUCUUUGUAAAUGGACACUGAAAAAAACAAACUACCAAAGAUUCCUCCACUGACUACUGACUCAAAAGUUAAUAAUAAAAACAACAUUUUUUAAGCACUGGGGAUAAAAAGACAUCAUGGAAAUAUAACUUAUUCCAAACUACAUAUAGAAGAUAAUCUUGGCCUGGGUACGGAAGAGACCUUCAGGUGCUUUUGUGGCUAAAAGGAUUACAGCUUCAUCUGGUUGAACUCUGGAAAAGAAAAAAAAAAGUAAAGAAAGAAAAAAGAAGAAGAAAAAAAGAGCUAUAGAUAUCCUCGUCAAAGCACAAAGUCAUGGCUGGUUUUGUUUCAAAUGAAUAGUUUGCUUGUUACCAUGGAAACCUAAUGGCCUGCCGACAAAAACCUCACUGUAAACAGGGCUUAACGGAGUUUGCUUGCGGCCACUUGAACACCCAAACUACGUCAUCUGUUCCUAUGAAGAAACCAAACCACCAUCUUUUAUAAAUUGCCAUGGAAACCAAGUGCCUUCAAUGAAACAAGCCUGAAUAAUUUUCAACUCAGAAGCUUGCACUGCUAACAAAGGCUUGUGUAAAACUAUUUUGUAAACAGACGACACAGCCUAAGUGUGCACAUUACAGGCAAGACGCCCCAGCCGCUUCUGAAGAAGAAAGGACCCACUGCUGCGUAAGCCCAUGCAGACAAGAUCAUUUGUUUCGCCUCCUAGACAGCCAUGGCCUUUCGGCUUAUUGUCCACAGAAAGGAACUUCCCUUGAGACCAGACAUAGGAGCAACACUUUUUUCUUCCAGGUUAUUAGAUGGGUCAACCAGAGCAAAAGGUUGCUGUGAUCAUACUUAGCGCAGAAGGUGGUAAAACACAGAAGUGAUUUUUUUUUUUUUUACUCUAACCUCCAUCUGAAAUGAAAUUGGCCCUGCCUUUAGAGGGAACAAGGAGCUGUUUGAGAUUGCCGUGCAUAAGAACUCUGCCGCGGAACUGGGCCUGAAAAAUCUGGCUUUAUUCUAAACUCUGAGGGUAAUAUGCCUCUGCCCUUUAGUCAGACUCUGUGCAAAUUGUGAAAUAUUAUUUUAUUAUUUUAACAAGAUUAAAAAAAAAACACUUUUACAAAAAAACAAAAACCUGUAAAAAUGAUUUUGAGCUACCUGAGGACAAACCACACCUUUAACCAGCCAGUUUUCCAAUGCAUUGUAAAUUUCACUUACACCUGUUGGUUAUGAAAAUUUGAAGAUCUUUUUCCUUAAAUUAUCUCAGCUUUUAACUUCAUUUAAAAAAGACUUUUGUCUAAAGAAGAAUAUUAUUAUGAUCUGUUCUUUUCACACCCCAGGAUUUAAAAAAUACUGAUUAUGCAAGUAAUUGGGAUCUAAGUAUUAAAUUGCAGUAUUUGCAAAUAUUAAUAUUAAAAAGCACAACAAAAUGUAGUAGAAAAUGACAAAGCUUGAUUUUUUUUAAGACAACUGUAGAAAUGUUUGUGCCAAUUCAAUAAUUCAACUUAAAAUAUAAUUUUACAGCUCUGUUCAAUAAAGGCUCUUUCCAGGUAAGGAAUGAUAAGCAGCAUGUGUGUUUGUUGGACAAUAUUCAAUUAUCACUAAAAUGAGAUUACUUAUGCAAUUUAUUGGUUCUGUUAUCUUGGGAUAAAUCUUCAGUACUUCAUACACAAUUAGUGUCCACAGGAAGAGAUUUUAAUAGGAACACCUGAUACACUCUCCUUAAUCUGUAAUACAUGUAAAAUGAUGUUUACCUCUAUAGGUAAAAUAUGAACCAAAUGCAAGUUGAAAUUUAAUGUAUAAUUUCAUAGUCAGUUUAAAAGGGGACAUAUCAGAAGACCUUGGUAGUGAUAGCAUUAAGCUAACCCACAUCCUUUAAACUGAACAGAAGAAACAAAUGAUUAUCAUAAUUUCUUUGACUUAAUUAGUCAUAUUGAAAAUUUUUCAGAAGUUCAAAGUCAUUCAUUCUAUCAAACCAAAGAUUUCAAGAAAGUGACAUCUGGGGCAUGUAGCAUCUGAACAAUCUGCAAUUGUCUGUAUUUCCACUGUAUUGCAACUAACCACAUCUUUUCAUUACCCAAGAUUAGUAAAACAGAAUUUUAUUUUAUUUUGUUUUUUUUUUUUGUUUGUUUGUUUGUUUGUUUGUUUUUUGCACUCUCUUUGCCAGGACACCAAGAGUAUCUUUUGAUUUAAAGAGAGGCUUAAUUUGUCAUCUUCUCUCAAUUAUCUUUAAGUUGAUUUGAAUGACACUUUUGCAAGGACUUACAGAAAAAAAGACCUCAAAUCUCAGAUUAUUUGAAAACAUGCAUGUCCUUUCAAGAAAAAAAUAACAAGGUUUGUUUCUUCUAAGCUAUCCGGAGCCAACAAGCUGCUAGAAGUAAAAGUUCGAAUUGUAUCGUUAAGCAUUUAUCAAAUACCUAAAAUCUUUCCUAAACGUUCCCAUUGUAAGAAAACACACUUCUGAAGUUCAUGAGAACUGGCUGGUACUUCAAAAUUCAUUUUGAUUAAACUUCUAAGAAGUUGCCGAUGACUGUGAAGAACAGGGGGCAAUCAGAGGUGAAAGCAAACAGACCACUGAGAUGGUAAUGAAAUGGAUUCUCACAUGAGAUCAACAUCAUUUAGACAAGCCAACAAACAGAAUCUGUAUUUUGACUUCAGAUCAAAUGCUCAGUUGCUGUCACUGAAAGUAAAUGGCUAAAAUGUGGAAACUUUAAAAAUGAUUUGGGUACAUGGACUGGAAAUUUUUGAAAUCACCUUGUCUUUAAUAGAACUAAUGAUCACGAAACCCUUAAAACACCCCUUUAUCGACUACAUUCCCAUUCCUAACAUUGCUAUGUCUAUCAUAAACUGGACCCAACAGCUUCCCUGCACCAUCAUGGUAGUGUGUCAGCCUAUAAUGGAGAGAAGCCAGUUGAGCUGAUUUUAUUUUUAAUAGGGAAUCAUCUAGCAAUCAGGUUUUUGUUUUCUGGGAGAGACAAAAUACCAUGUAAUCUCCAAUUAUUGACACUAACUGAUCCCCAUUAAUCAGAAGCAAUAUCACUUUUCAUCAGUUCAAAGAUGCUUCUUUACAUGUUAACAUUUCUACAACUGGGCCUAUUUUUUAUUAUAAUUAGCAGUAUUUCUAUGUAGUGAUAUGAAGGUCUACUCAAGAGCUGAGAGGACCUGAGUGUGAAUAUUCACCACAUUCACUAAAGUUGCCAGAAGUGCCAAACAAUGCCAAAAAUGAUCUUAUUUCCUUCAAACCUAAAAGUGAGAAAAAAUAUAACCAAAUCACAAUCAUAGAUUGUAUAACUAAUCAUGGACUAUGCAGGUUAUAACCUAAUUUCCUUUGCUUUUUUAAAACACCAGAGUCUUCUUGGAUGUUUUACAUCCAUACUACCCUUGUUUUUCCAUUUCCUACCUAUUUUUCUACCAUCUAUUCUUCUAGUUCCACUGUGGAUCGCAUGUAUUCCUGAUCUACUGUGGUCCUUGGUUCCAGGUGACUUGUUAUAUAUAUCAACAGAUGAGGAGUUUGGCCCUUGAUUACAUUUCUUUAAGAGAACUGACAGAUGCAGAGUUACAAUGUCAGGCACUUUGACACUAAUGGCCCUUCAUUUCAUGUUUCCCACAGAAUUGACUUGGCAGAGAAAUGGAGUAUAUCUGAAAUAGAACCUAGUCUGGUAUACCCUGUAAUACACAAUGAAAACAAUUCCAUUCUUUACUUUCAUACUGGGAAAUAUGAUGAAAUAAAUUACAGCUGUACUAAUUUUUCACCAAACAUGAAAUUUUAUUUUAAGUACUUUAUAAUAAUAAACUUAUCUACCAACAAAAUGUGUAAUUUAAAGAAUAAUCCAUUUAGUUCUGUACUUAAGACUAUAAACCUAAAAAAAUAAAAUGAUUAUUUUUCAUAAUCAUUUUAAUUUUAUGUUUUUAUUGGUAAUUUUAAAGUUGGUGACAGACUGAUCUGAUUUUGGUAAACUUUUCAAAUGAUUCUCCUAAAUAUGUGUUCUUUACCACAAAACUUUUUUUUAAAUGUGCCUUUCAAAUACCAGGGCCACUCAAUAGACAUUUAAACUGGCAAAAAUUUACCUCCCCUCAAAAAUAGUUCUGGUUGAUGACUCCUUGCACUGUUUCAGCUGUGUCUCAACAAAGCAGAAGGUACACUCUUCUUGCAACUGGGCAGUUGAUGUCAAUGAGGAGUUAUUGCAUUUUCUGUGAAAACAACAAAAUCAUAGGGUUCAAUCCCAAGCUAUUUUUUUUCCUACAAUAUUCCCUUUGUGGUUCACCCAUUUAAUUCAUUUUCUUAAUGUUACUUUUAGAACGCAACGUAUGUCAUUUUCUACUCUGUCUUAGAAGAAGAAAUGCUACUACAAAGUUGGUUUUUUUCUCAAUGCUAAUUUGAAAAGUUGGCUGAAUAUUCAUAGUAUAUAUGCAUAGAAUUGUAUAUGUUAUUACACAAGCAAAGGAAGAUAUAAAAGCUUAACACUAUAAUGUGAAGUAUGUCAACUAGGAACAGUCCCUAGUGGGUUAAUGUCUGCUUGGAAAUACAAGAGAGAUAUAAAGAUAAAGCUUCUACACAUUUCUAUAUGGAUUACUUCAUGAGCACAUGUUCAUUCAAAGCUCAAUAAAUUUAUGAGUAGUGCUUUCACUACCCUGAACCCAUGUGAGAAUUUCAAACAGGAAUCCAAAAUUUGGAGUAAGGCUGAGGUGAAACUCUGGGUAGAAGCCGCAAUAGUUUUCUCAAGGAUAUAUUUACAACUGAUUGAAUUUAAUUUCAAUUGUACUAAUUUUCAUUGAGUUGAUCUGAAAUGUAUUCUUAUUUUUCAAUAAAAUGAUGGGAAAUUCUAUGAGUAGGGAUGAGCUUGGUAGUUUUGCUUGUUUUUGUAAGGCUCUUCACUGUUGCCCUGGGUUUCCAGGCUAUCAUUUUUAUUUCUCGAGUCUCACCAGUAUAUUUAAAUGUAAAAGUUUAAUCAAAUAUGCAUUGUGUUAAAUUUAUAUGCAAAUGAGUUACAUUGGAGACCAUAAAGUUUAGAUUUCACUUAAUUGACAUUUUGAUAUUUUUCUUCUUCUGAAUAGUUUGAGAUAGCUGUAUGUUAUUUUCCUUUGGAUUUUUUUUCAAUAAAUGAAAUUAUGUUAAAUACUC